This 576-nucleotide ribosomal RNA is filed under the name uncultured bacterium. Its description in RNAcentral is "partial 16S ribosomal RNA". It matches the Rfam family "Bacterial small subunit ribosomal RNA", at positions 355 to 923 of the family's 1533-position model. The record is from RNAcentral.
UGGGGAAUUUUGGACAAUGGGCGAAAGCCUGAUCCAGCAAUGCCGCGUGUGUGAAGAAGGCCUUCGGGUUGUAAAGCACUUUUGUCCGGAAAGAAAUGGCUCUGGUUAAUACCUGGGGUCGAUGACGGUACCGGAAGAAUAAGGACCGGCUAACUACGUGCCAGCAGCCGCGGUAAUACGUAGGGUCCAAGCGUUAAUCGGAAUUACUGGGCGUAAAGCGUGCGCAGGCGGUUGUGCAAGACCGAUGUGAAAUCCCCGAGCUUAACUUGGGAAUUGCAUUGGUGACUGCACGGCUAGAGUGUGUCAGAGGGGGGUAGAAUUCCACGUGUAGCAGUGAAAUGCGUGGAGAUGUGGAGGAAUACCGAUGGCGAAGGCAGCCCCCUGGGAUAACACUGACGCUCAUGCACGAAAGCGUGGGGGAGCAAACAGGAUUAGAUACCCUGGUAGUCCACGCCCUAAACGAUGUCAACUAGUUGUUGGGGAUUCAUUUCCUUAGUAACGUAGCUAACGCGUGAAGUUGACCGCCUGGGGAGUACGGUCGCAAGAUUAAAACUCAAAUGAAUUGACGGGGUCAUA